RNAcentral lists this transfer RNA (77 nucleotides) under Victivallis vadensis. RNAcentral describes it as "tRNA-Ala". It matches the Rfam family "tRNA". From Rfam's summary of the family: Transfer RNA (tRNA) molecules are approximately 80 nucleotides in length. Lineage: Bacteria; Pseudomonadati; Lentisphaerota; Lentisphaeria; Victivallales; Victivallaceae. The record is from RNAcentral.
GGGGCCGUAGCUCAAUUGGCUAGAGCACCUGCUUUGCAAGCAGGAUGUUGAGGGUUCGAGCCCCUUCGGCUCCACCA